AUUGAACGCUGGCGGAAUGCUUUACACAUGCAAGUCGAGCGGCAGCGCGGGGCAACCUGGCGGCGAGCGGCGAACGGGUGAGUAAUGCAUCGGAACAUGUCCAUGUCGUGGGGGAUAGCCCGGCGAAAGCCGGAUUAAUACCGCAUACGCCCGAGAGGGGAAAGCAGGGGACCGCAAGGCCUUGCGCGAUUGGGUUGGCCGAUGUCCGAUUAGCUAGUUGGUGGGGUAAAGGCCUACCAAGGCGAUGAUCGGUAGCUGGUCUGAGAGGAUGAUCAGCCACACUGGGACUGAGACACGGCCCAGACUCCUACGGGAGGCAGCAGUGGGGAAUUUUGGACAAUGGGGGAAACCCUGAUCCAGCCAUUCCGCGUGAGUGAAGAAGGCCUUCGGGUUGUAAAGCUCUUUUGUCCGGAACGAAACGGUUGCGGUGAAUAUCCGCGACUACUGACGGUACCGGAAGAAUAAGCACCGGCUAACUACGUGCCAGCAGCCGCGGUAAUACGUAGGGUGCGAGCGUUAAUCGGAAUUACUGGGCGUAAAGCGUGCGCAGGCGGUUUUGUAAGCCAGAUGUGAAAUCCCCGGGCUUAACCUGGGAAUGGCAUUUGGGACUGCAAGGCUGGAGUGCGGCAGAGGAGACUGGAAUUCCUGGUGUAGCAGUGAAAUGCGUAGAUAUCAGGAGGAAUACCGAUGGCGAAGGCAGGUCUCUGGGCUGACACUGACGCUCAUGCACGAAAGCGUGGGGAGCAAACAGGAUUAGAUACCCUGGUAGUCCACGCCCUAAACGAUGUCGACUGGUUGUUGGGGGUUUGACACUCUCAGUAACGAAGCUAACGC
This 834-nucleotide ribosomal RNA is filed under the name uncultured beta proteobacterium. RNAcentral describes it as "bacterial SSU rRNA". It matches the Rfam family "Bacterial small subunit ribosomal RNA", at positions 28 to 858 of the family's 1533-position model. The record is from RNAcentral. Lineage: Bacteria; Pseudomonadati; Pseudomonadota; Betaproteobacteria.